This 67-nucleotide transfer RNA is filed under the name Rhinolophus pusillus (least horseshoe bat). RNAcentral describes it as "tRNA-Tyr". It matches the Rfam family "tRNA". From Rfam's summary of the family: Transfer RNA (tRNA) molecules are approximately 80 nucleotides in length. Their secondary structure includes four short double-helical elements and three loops (D, anti-codon, and T loops). The record is from RNAcentral. RNAcentral also lists the same sequence under 4 other names. Lineage: Eukaryota; Metazoa; Chordata; Mammalia; Chiroptera; Rhinolophidae.
GGUAAAAUGGCCGAGUAGGCAUUAGGCUGUAAAUCUAAGCACAGGGGUUUGAGUCCCCUUUUUACCA